AUCACGGUUGGACAUCGUGAGGUUAGUGCAAUGGCAUAAGCCCGCUUAACUGCGAGAAUGACGGUUCGAGCAGGUGCGAAAGCAGGUCAUAGUGAUCCGGUGGUUCUGUAUGGAAGGGCCAUCGCUCAACGGAUAAAAGGUACUCCGGGGAUAACAGGCUGAUACCGCCCAAGAGUUCAUAUCGACGGCGGUGUUUGGCACCUCGAUGUCGGCUCAUCACAUCCUGGGGCUGAAGUCGGUCCCAAGGGUAUGGCUGUUCGCCAUUUAAAGUGGUACGCGAGCUGGGUUUAGAACGUCGUGAGACAGUUCGGUCCCUAUCUGCCGUGGGCG
RNAcentral lists this ribosomal RNA (330 nucleotides) under Vibrio cholerae. RNAcentral's name for it is "partial 23S ribosomal RNA". It matches the Rfam family "Bacterial large subunit ribosomal RNA", at positions 2324 to 2653 of the family's 2925-position model. Lineage: Bacteria; Pseudomonadati; Pseudomonadota; Gammaproteobacteria; Vibrionales; Vibrionaceae. The record is from RNAcentral.